GAGCCUGUGCUCCGCAACGGGAGAGGCCACAGCAGUGAGAGGCCCGAGUACUGCAAAAAAAAAAAAAAAAAAGUAGCAUUAGUAGAAAAGGUAAGUAAGAAUGAGUUGUGGAGUCUUUUAUUGUUUGGCCAUCAUACAAUUUGAAAUGUAGGAUCAUGAGCUUUUAUAUAGCCUUUUACUUAUCGCCCAGAGCAUCCAGCCCCCGAACUUCACAAAAGCAAGUACUUUGCGAAGAGGUUUGCGGGCGGGGAAAGAAAUCUUCUCUCCUUGUCUUAGGGUUAUUAGCUCGGGCCCUGUGAAUGUAACCGACAAAAGACAGAUUAAAAAGAAAAACAGACUGUUAACAUUUGCAGCGCCCCUACACACGGAGUAACUGGUGAUGGGCGGGCUUACGUAGCGAUUUAUCAAAAGAACAAAACAUUUGUAGAGAAGCCACAAGACAAAGGAAAAGGACCUUGAGUUUCUAGGGCGGCCAAUUGUGGGAAGGCAAAUAUAUGGGAAACUGAUGGGAGACAAGAACUAGUUAGUAAAGUUGGUUAUGCAGAUUCCUCCAGUGCCACCUCUGGGCUGAUGAGGGUCUAGAGUUUUCUCCCGUGAUUGACUUCUGCCCUUUCUGGUAGAUUGGGGGCGGGGGGGGACACCUUUGCAAACUUAUGUCCUGCUCUUAGGAAGUAGGGAGAGAGCAGCGAGCUUUUCUUGUAUCAGCUUAAUUGCCUUUAGCUCAAUAUAAUCCUUAUGCCAAACUGGCACGGUUUGGUGCAGCGUAUUCUGCUGCCCAUCAGGUUCUAGGGCUGUCCUCAAAAUGAGUUGUGAAGGAAAGUGUUACUAAGUGUGGAAAUAUGCACUACGUAUAGAAAUAGAUGGACAUGUGGUCUCCUCUAACACAAGCAAAAUAUUUUAAAAUAAUGACAACAAACUGGGCAACAACUCUGAAGCUUCCUGAGUCUUUUAAUAAAUGUAAAGCUUAAAACUUAUUUUUUUUUUAGAAAUGAUAUAUACUUAUUAUGGAAAAUCUGCUCAGAGAUUCUCAUUGUUAAUAUUUCAGCACCCUAUUCCAGUCUUUUAAAAUGUAUUUCAAAAAGAAAAAUAUAUCUCAAGACUACACUGGGUAUUUACAUAUAAAUGUAAACCUAAUAUAUAUUUUCAAAAGUUUUUACUGUAAUGGGAAAAUAUUCAUUGCAUAAUAUGGAGUAAAAGUUAGCAGAUACAAAGCUAUGUAGUAUAAUCACAUUUUUAUACAAGUGUUCUACUCGUAUAUAUAAUAUAUAAAAGAAAAAAUAAGAAAAAGGAAACAUAUGAAGAAAAGACACAACUCUCCAUACACGUAUAUGUACUUUACUCCCAUGGUGUCAUACAUGAAUAAAAUCGCACCAUUUGGAUAGACUGUGAGGUGAAAGUGCACUGGACUUGCCCUAGAAUCUGGGCUUGAGUUGGACAUGGUGUGACCUUGGGCGAGCUCCUUCCCCUCCCAGACUCAGCUUCCAAAUCUAAGAGGGGAACAGUAACGCCUCCCUCUCAAUCUGUUGUGAGAAUGAAGUGAUCUUAUGAAUGUAAAGGUGUUUAGUACCGUGCCCAGCCCAGAGUAAGCCCUCUAUUACUCUGUUUUCCUGAACCCCAGCUCAUCCUGCCUGAAGUUCAAAGUUUUCUCCACUAGAUGGUGAUGGUAGAAAGAUAAAAUGAGUAAACCAUGCCAGCCUCUAACCAGGUUUAAACUUCCUUUUUAAAUCAGCAUAAAUACAAAUAAGUGUAAACUCUGUUAUAAGGUUGCAGUAAAUGAGUUCAAUGUAAAGCAGUAAGCCCUCGGCUUAAGUGUCCUCCGUUAAUCCCUCACUGCUUUCUUGUCUUCAGCCGGACUUGGCGCUCUCUUUGAGCAGUGUAACCAUGUCUGUUCUCUGCCCCAGAAUCGCAAUGGGGAUGACAGAUGCCGCGUGUGGCUCAACUCUCAGAUCAGCCAUCUAUUCAGUGGCCACCGGGAAAGCCUCAGGCUGGUGCAGGUCCCGCGUGCUGCCGUGUAAUACGCCUCCUAGUGUUAUCGAACCUCAGGCGUCAUCUUGGCCCUCGUAAUCAUACCCAAGUCAAGGGGAAGGCAGACUCAGAAGUCACGACUGCGUCCUGAUUUACAAAUCGGAGGCGGAGGGGCACGAACACCACACACCAGACAGGAACUUAGUCGGACUCACCACCAAGAUGCUGAAAGUGAAGCGGCUGGAAGAAAUCAGCACAUGUUACCACAGUGACCAGCUGGAGAAAAUGGCCUUUUUUCAGUGCAUGGAAGAGGUGGAGAAAGUGAAGUGUAUUCUGGAAGAAAGUUCUAGUGAACAGGAUUCGAGAUCUGGGAAGAGUGAGGUAACUGUGCUAAUUUAGUCUCCUGAAAAGUGUCAGUUCUACUUUAUCUUUUCUCACAUAAAGCAAUACCUGUCGCCGUUUAUACGAC
Long non-coding RNA from Aethalodelphis obliquidens (Pacific white-sided dolphin), 2434 nucleotides. RefSeq lists it as uncharacterized. Lineage: Eukaryota; Metazoa; Chordata; Mammalia; Artiodactyla; Delphinidae. The record is from RefSeq and is a predicted model, not a curated record. The transcript has 2 exons.